UCUGGAAACUNUCUGACUUGAGUGCAGAAGGGGAGAGUGGAAUNCCAUGUGUAGCGGUGAAAUGCGUAGAUAUAUGGAGGAACACCAGUGGCGAAAGCGGCUCUCUGGUCUGUCACUGACGCUGAGGCUCGAAAGCGUGGGUAGCGANCAGGAUUAGAUACCCUGGUAGUNCACGCCGUAAACGAUGAGUGCUAGGUGUUAGGCCCUUUCCGGGGCUUAGUGCCGGAGCUAACGCAAUAAGCACUCCGCCUGGGGAGUACGACCGCAAGGUUGAAACUCAAAGGAAUUGACGGGGGCCCGCACAAGCGGUGGAGCAUGUGGUUUAAUUCGAAGCAACGCGAAGAACCUUACCAGGUCUUGACAUCCCGAUGCUAUUCUUAGAGAUAGGAAGUUACUUCGGUACAUCGGAGACAGGUGGUGCAUGGUUGUCGUCAGCUCGUGUCGUGAGAUGUUGGGUUAAGUCCCGCAACGAGCGCAACCCUUAUUGUUAGUUGCCAUCAUUAAGUUGGGCACUCUAGCGAGACUGCCGGUAAUAAACCGGAGGAAGGUGGGGAUGACGCCAAAUCAUCAUGCCCCUUAUGACCUGGGCUACACACGUGCUACAAUGGUCGGUACAACGAGUUGCGAGCCGGAGACGGCAAGCUAAUCUCUGAAAGCCGAUCUCAGUUCGGAUUGGAGGCUGCAACUCGCCUCCAUGAAGUCGGAAUCGCUAGUAAUCGCGGAUCAGCACGCCGCGGUGAAUACGUUCCCGGGCCUUGUACACACCGCCCGUCACACCACGAGAGUUUGUAACACCCGAAGUCGGUGAGGUAACC
RNAcentral lists this ribosomal RNA (815 nucleotides) under uncultured bacterium. RNAcentral describes it as "bacterial SSU rRNA". It matches the Rfam family "Bacterial small subunit ribosomal RNA", at positions 625 to 1440 of the family's 1533-position model. The record is from RNAcentral.